CGAAACCAUCUGCGGUGAGCGAGAGUGGUGUGAAAAGGGAAAGCAAACGCUGCUUUGUUUAUGAUUUGGUAUGGAGAGUUGUUACUCUCAUGCAAGCGCAGAAUGUACGUGCAUGUUGGUAGUUGGCUGUAGUCUUUGCGGUGUGUUCAAGUGUUCUACUUUUUGACGGCGACACAGGCGACGUGAGCCGAUGCAACAGUCAGCCUUUGUCGCUGCUAGUUCUUUGAUGUCAAGUUAUUGUGUCCCUAGCUUUAAUCACAGAGGAAUACAAAACCCAUUGGUGAUGCUGUGCUGUGGGGUGGUCUGACCGGAACCAGAGAACUGCACAGUGCAUAGCCUAGGCGGCUAGUUGGAACGACAGGUGCGGCCUCGUACCUGCUGAGAGCGACAACGUGGCUGAACAUGGACC
Clupea harengus (Atlantic herring) is the source of this 409-nucleotide long non-coding RNA. The record is from Ensembl. NCBI's taxonomy places the organism in Eukaryota, Metazoa, Chordata, Actinopteri, Clupeiformes, Clupeidae.